AUAGAAAGAAUAGAACAAAAAAAAAUGGUCGAAAUUGAACUCUUUCUAAUGUA
This 53-nucleotide transfer RNA is filed under the name Oxalis corymbosa. RNAcentral describes it as "partial tRNA-His". The record is from RNAcentral. Lineage: Eukaryota; Viridiplantae; Streptophyta; Magnoliopsida; Oxalidales; Oxalidaceae.